AUACAUAGGGUGCGAGCGUUGUCCGGAAUUACUGGGCGUAAAGAGCUCGUAGGUGGUUUGUCGCGUCGUCUGUGAAAUUCCGGGGCUUAACUCCGGGCGUGCAGGCGAUACGGGCAUAACUUGAGUACUGUAGGGGAGACUGGAAUUCCUGGUGUAGCGGUGAAAUGCGCAGAUAUCAGGGGGAACACCGGUGGCGAAGGCGGGUCUCAGGGGAGUAACUUACGCUGAGGAGCGAAAGCAUGGGUAGCGAACAGGAUUAGAUACCCGGGUAGUCCAUGCUGUAAACGGUGGGCGCUAGGUGUAGGGGUCUUCCACGACUUCUGUGCCGUAGCUAACGCAUUAAGCGCCCCGCCUGGGGAGUACGGCCGCAAGGCUAAAACUCAAAUGAAUUGACGGGG
RNAcentral lists this ribosomal RNA (398 nucleotides) under uncultured bacterium. RNAcentral describes it as "partial 16S ribosomal RNA". It matches the Rfam family "Bacterial small subunit ribosomal RNA", at positions 523 to 918 of the family's 1533-position model. The record is from RNAcentral.